CAGUCGCCGCGGUAAUACGUAGGGUGCAAGCGUUAAUCGGAAUUACUGGGCGUAAAGCGUGCGCAGGCGGUCCGCUAAGACAGAUGUGAAAUCCCCGGGCUUAACCUGGGAGCUGCAUUUGUGACUGGCGGGCUAGAGUAUGGCAGAGGGGGGUAGAAUUCCACGUGUAGCAGUGAAAUGCGUAGAGAUGUGGAGGAAUACCGAUGGCGAAGGCAGCCCCCUGGGCCAAUACUGACGCUCAUGCACGAAAGCGUGGGGAGCAAACAGGAUUAGAUACCCGCGUAGUCCCUGUCUCUUAUAC
RNAcentral lists this ribosomal RNA (301 nucleotides) under uncultured bacterium. RNAcentral's name for it is "partial 16S ribosomal RNA". It matches the Rfam family "Bacterial small subunit ribosomal RNA", at positions 509 to 807 of the family's 1533-position model. The record is from RNAcentral.